Molecule: ribosomal RNA, 195 nt
Filed under: uncultured bacterium gp4
Lineage: Bacteria
Description: partial 16S ribosomal RNA
Rfam family: Bacterial small subunit ribosomal RNA
Source: RNAcentral
ACUCCUACGGGAGGCAGCAGUCGGGAAUUUUGGGCAAUGGGCGAAAGCCUGACCCGGCAACGCCGCGUUGAAGGAUGAAAUCCCUCGGGAUGUAAACUUCGCAAGAAUGGGAAGAAUGAACGAGCGCUAAUACCGUUCGUGAUGACGGUACCAUUUGUAAGCUCCGGCUAACUCCGUGCCAGCAGCCGCGGUAAU